ACGUAGGGAGCAAGCGUUGUUCGGAUUUAUUGGGCGUAAAGAGCGCGUAGGCGGCUUGGCAAGUCCGUUGUGAAAUCUCACAGCUCAACUGUGAAACUGCAGCGGAAACUGCCUCGCUAGAGUGCGGGAGAGGAGAGUGGAAUUCCCAGUGUAGAGGUGAAAUUCGUAGAUACUGGGAGGAACACCGGUGGCGAAGGCGGCUCUCUGGACCGCAACUGACGCUGAGGCGCGAAAGCUAGGGGAGCAAACGGG
RNAcentral lists this ribosomal RNA (252 nucleotides) under uncultured bacterium. Its description in RNAcentral is "partial 16S ribosomal RNA". It matches the Rfam family "Bacterial small subunit ribosomal RNA", at positions 525 to 776 of the family's 1533-position model. The record is from RNAcentral.